AACAAAAACAUGUCCUUUUGUUUUAUUUAUUUAAGGUUUAACCUGCCCACUGAAUUUUUUUUAUUUUAAAUGGCCGCAGUAAUUUGACUGUGCAAAGGUAGCAUAAUCAUUAGUUUUUUAAUUGAAAGCUUGUAUGAAAGGUUGGACGAAGUAUAAUCUGUCUUUAUUUAAUUUAUUGUAGAAUUUAAUUUUUGAGUUAAAAAGCUUAAAUAUUUAUAAAAGACGAGAAGACCCUAUAAAUCUUUAUAUUAUUUUAAGUUAUUUUAAUUAGGAUUAUUUAAUUUAUAAUUUUUUAUAAUAUUUUAUUGGGGUAAUAGAGUAAUUAAAUUAAUUUAUUUUGUUUUUUUACAUUUAUUUAUGGUUUUAUGAUCCAAUAAGUUUUGAUUACAAGAUUAAGUUACUUUAGGGAUAACAGCGUAAUUUUUUUAAAGAGUUCAUAUCGAUAAAAAAGUUUGCGACCUCGAUGUUG
This 469-nucleotide ribosomal RNA is filed under the name Madaglymbus sp. BI-2011. RNAcentral describes it as "partial 16S ribosomal RNA". Lineage: Eukaryota; Metazoa; Arthropoda; Insecta; Coleoptera; Dytiscidae. The record is from RNAcentral.